Fukomys damarensis (Damara mole-rat) is the source of this 2830-nucleotide long non-coding RNA. RefSeq lists it as uncharacterized. The record is from RefSeq and is a predicted model, not a curated record. Lineage: Eukaryota; Metazoa; Chordata; Mammalia; Rodentia; Bathyergidae. The transcript has 4 exons.
GAAAUCUGAAAUUCAGGGCAGGAGUAAAGCGGUUCUUUCAUUCCUGCAGCAGCUCUCUCAGUGCGAUGCGUUCACCAUGAACCCUGUGCCUCCAGACAUUCAGGGCCCAGGGCUGGGGCCUGGGUGGCUCUUGGCCUGGCGGCCUUGGCAGGAUCUCAUUAGUGGUGCUGUCUUCUGAACUUUCUCUUCAGCGUGGCGCCUCUGGAACCUUUCUGCCCUUGCUCUUUGACUCUCACAAGAGUGUCCUGUGAAGUUUUAACAAACCUCAGAGGGGCAUGUGAUCAGGCCUGGAACAAGAUCAAGGAUUCCAGGUACAGAAGCAAGAAAAGUGAACGCCUUAGCGAGACAGAGCCACGGGUGAAGGGAGCCGUUGUUUGGGUCUGCAGAGGCCCAGAGUCCCCAUGGCAAAGGCCACUGGGCCAGUAGCUUUGUCGGGUGCUGCUGCCUGGGGCUGUCGUUUUCCCUCAGACCGGCAAGCAAAGAGACCACAAGGCGUGAACUGAAACUCCAGAACUGUGAGCUAACACAAGCCUGUCCUCCACGGGAGCUGACUGUGUCCCGUGAUUUGUUACAGUUGUAAAAAAUCCUUAAAUUGAGCUGUAUGUACACAGGACUCUGAGAAUAACGGUGCUAGACUGACUGUGUUAUUCCAGUGGCACAGUUGUAAAGGCUGAAAAAUUCAAUUCCCCACUGACUGCACCGCAAGAGCUGAAUCUGAUGGGUUGGAUGCAAUAACAGCUUUGGCGAGGAAAAUCCUAGAACUCCUCUCACAUGGCAUUCAGGAAAAUCCUAGAACUCCUCUCACGUGGCAUUCAGGAAAAUCCUAGAACUCCUCUCACGUGGCAUUCCAAAACAUUUGCCCAGCAAAGAUGACUUCUGGUAACUCUUCAGCAAACAAACUCAGCACACACAAAUAAUAUCAGGUAAUUGGAUCAGAAUAUUGGUCUUGGAAUCUACAUUAAUAAUUUCAGGCUGAACGCAGGUCAAUUCUAAUUAGCUAACACACCGAUGCUAUUAUUGCAGUACCCUGUCUUGCCCUAGGUUUCAAAGAACAGGCAUCACAUGGUAGAUAAGUACUAAACAAACACAAUCUGUCUAUUCUGUUUAAUGAUUAGACUAGAAAUUAAAACUGAUUCUGCUUAUGUUAAAAACCUGUGUCACCAUGUUCUCAUGCUGCAUGUUAACAUAGAAAUGAUAUUUUCUUUAGUUUGUUGUAAAUUUGUAAUAGUGUGGUUGUUAUUGGAGAAAUGUUAAGACACUAGCAUAAAUGAGAGGAUUUUAUUACGCAUAUGAUAAUUGGAAAAAUGUGGAACCAUAAAAUAUUUCAAAAAAGGAGAAAAAUAGGAGGAAAUAAUAUUUUCCUCAUCACAGUACUCUGGUCGUCCACUGUUACGGUAUAACAAAACUGCCCCAAAUGUAGUGGCUUAAAAUAACACAACAGAAAUAUAUAAAAUUCAAAAAUUAUCCAUGAGUAGGUUUAUAUGUUUGAGUUUAUGGCUCACAAAUCUAUAACUGGGCCACCGUUCAGUGGGGAGGGUUGGUUUGCUUCAUGUGGUGUCCAAAGAGAUAGCUUCACGGGGCAGGAGGGCCACUCCGAGACGGCUUGUGCCCCCCCGGCAGCAGCUGGUGCUGGCUUCGGACUGUGCUGGUGGUUGCAGCCUCGGUUCCGCUCCCUGUUGGCCCUUGGAUGGACCACUUGCUCUUCCUCCUAGCAUGGCGGCUGGGUUCCCAAAGCAAGCUUCCCUGGAGGGAGGAGAUGACUAGAGCCCUGUGACAUAGAGAGGGGACACUCUUCGCGUGUAACCGGAAGCACUAUCAAGGCACUUGGGCUGUGUCCCACAGUCACCCAGCCCCCUCAGCCGCAUCUGUUUACAUCGCUCACACAUCCAGAGAAUAUUCACCACUGUGAAGACUUCUAAGUGUCUCCUCACAUGACUUCAUUAGACUGAGUCUCAAGGCCGGAGGCUUAUCACUGAAACCAGUUUCAGGGGUAAGAGGAGCUUCCUCAGAUAUGGGCCCUAAGGUCCGCUUCUCAGUACAGCGCUUCUCCGUCUGCAGAUUGACGAAUUGAGACACGUCAUCUGCCCAGUGCACUCCUUAAACGGCGGUGGGAUAGCAGCAGCGCCUUCUACAAACCACCCUGCUGAGAGAGACACGCCCUCGCUGUGCUGCAGUGGUGCUGAGACCCAGUUCCGUGACUGGAGCCUGCUUAUCAUGUGUCCCCUCAUUCUGCCAUCUGGGCUUUUCUCAUCGUUCUCUGGAUCAUCCUUUCGUUUUCCUCAAAGCUUGUAACUAUGAGGUCUUUUCCACCCCAUCGAGCCCAUAAGACGUCAAGGGCCAAAUAGCUUCAUUGCGGAAUCAUUGAUGCCUCUCUUGGGUCUCAGGUGGUGCUGCUUCCACCAAAGUUUUUUGCUUAACAGCCUUUGUGGUUCUCCAUGAGUCUUUUUGGAUCUGCACCACUAGAUAGAAGCCAGACUUCACACGUCUGCAAUAAGCACACGUUAACUGCUGGGCUGGUGCCGGCCUUCAGGGUCUUCAGCUCCACGCACUUUAACAGGGAGGCCUGGAAGCCUACUGCAGGUGUUGCCUGAAGGCCUUCAGCUGUUUUGGGGGCUGUGACCUGCUUAGGUCUUUCUCAGGUCUUAAGAAAGGAUCUAUUUAUCUCACCCUGGGGUUGACCUUUGAUGUGAGGCCUGAUCUUAUGUUGAGGAUCAUUUCGUCAUCUGGAGAGACUGGGAAUCAGAAACCCUCAUAUUUACAAACCCAGAAAAUUCUAGGUCUUUUAUAUUUAAGAGUUCAUUCUUCAACGUUGUUGCUUAAUUUUGUAUAC